CACUGUUCUCUUUAACAAAAGAGUGCAAUGCAAUGAUUAGUUAGCUCAAGAAACUUCUUGCUUGUAUUUUUGAAGACAGGAGUAGAAGACUUACAAGAUCAGAGAAGGUACACAGCCCACAUUCACACUGAUAUAACAAGAACUCUUGAAUUUAAAAAUUUAUACACAUUACUAAUAAACCACUUUUCAUCUCGCCAGUUGGUAUUUUUUUUUAAGUAGAUAUCUAAUGUUUGUUCAUUAGU
This 242-nucleotide long non-coding RNA is filed under the name Bos taurus (domestic cattle). Its description in RNAcentral is "long non-coding RNA NONBTAT014302". The record is from RNAcentral. Lineage: Eukaryota; Metazoa; Chordata; Mammalia; Artiodactyla; Bovidae.